Non-coding RNA from Sus scrofa (pig), 1668 nucleotides. The record is from RefSeq and is a predicted model, not a curated record. NCBI's taxonomy places the organism in Eukaryota, Metazoa, Chordata, Mammalia, Artiodactyla, Suidae.
AGCAACCAGGGCGUCCGGGUAAGGAGGCGAUGCCAGCACGAGGGUCUCAUCCCCCUCCUCCCAGAUCCCAUUCCAAUGACCCACAGACGGGAACACCAGAGGGAAAAGCCUGCCCCCCGCGCUGGCGCUGCGCACGGCUGGGACGGACACCGCAUCUCCAAGGCGCCGGACGACGAAUGGAAAGAAAAGGCCAGCUCAUGACUCACCCUCGGCGGAAGUGGGGCGGUGCGCAGCCAGAGUAAGCGGCAGAGACACAGGCAGAAACCUGCUAAUAGCCCUUCGGUUCAAGGAGCCACCGCCGCCGACAGGAGGUUAGACCAUCGGGAGGUCAGGAGCACAUCUGGAUUCCUUCAACGUGUUUGAAAAGUAAACCAGAUUUUAUUUACAUUGGUGAAAAAGGAAUGCCGAGAAACGGAGUGCCAGGAGCUCGGUGGCUUUGCUCAUUAGUGCUGCUUGCUUGUGAAACCGGGCAGCGGUUUUGUCGUUCUGUUCGAGGACAUGUAAAGGAUGUGCUAAGAAAGAUGUCCACUAACAGGUGUUGGAAGCAGGAUUCAUGGUGGUUGCCUUUGGACCCUUUGUUGCCUUUUCUUUGAAAACUCUCAGUGCCAAGAACUAGAAUCGGGUGGCAGAAGAAUUUCCUUUCCGCAAAUGCUCUUCGCUGUAAAUGACAUUCUUUAUGAAGAAUAUAGAAUUUGUUCCUCUAAUGCUUAUUAUAAAUAGCACAAGAGAGCUUAGUAAUGAGGAUUCUGAGACACCGAUCAGGAGAACAGAAUCGAGAAAUUGCCUGGGAGCGCCACAACGGUCUAGGGGAUGGAAGAACCACAGCAUGAAGGCGCCUGGCUCCCUGGCUGACGGCACGGGGCAGGACUCCUCCCUCUUCCCUUCCCCACUUAACUGCCAAGUGGGCCUGAUGUGAGAAACACCCUUCUGUGUUCCUCUGAUAUUCUGGGUUUAUGCCUUGAAGAAGCUGGUACUACUCUAGUGAAUAUAUCUGGGUAUUUAUCUGCAUGUCUACAAGAUCAGCACCUGUUGUUACUGUGGCAAUUCUGUUUUCCAAAACAAUGGCGGUCACCUCAGCCACUUAUUUCCAAGCCAUAGAUGUCAUCAGCACGUCUAUUUCUACAGUUAUUCUGAGAUUCUACUUUUCAUCAAUGGAAUCAGUUGGGGGAAGAGAGGAGACCAUUAAACAAAAUACAGGCUAGACUGAAUCUGCCCACACUUCUUAGUGUAGACUUACGUGGAGCUGGGGAAGGUGCGGGAGCAGCAUCCACCUGGACUUAGUUCUGUUUUGCUCCUCCAAAGGUGUCCUGUUUCUGGUUGGGAGAGUUGUGUGGGGGAGGCCCUUUGAUCAUUUCCACUCGAAGAUGUCACCUGCCAGCAUGGGUGACACUGCAUCUGUCAGAAGAGCACCCUCUCCUGUAGCUUCCGGUGGCAGGGAAAUUUUCACUUACAGAAUGAAAGUUGAGAGGUACCUGCCAUCAAUAAAGGCCAUGAUCAACUCAAGAGCUUGCACCAGAAGGCAUAGCCACUGUGGGAAUAUUGUUCCAAGAAUAAAAGCAGAAAAAAAAAUGCCGACUAUUAAUAUGGUAAACAAGUAGUUUAGUUUUGUUUAUUGAUAUAUUCUGAAUUAAAAAAACAGGGAGUUCCCAUCGUGGCUCAGUGGUAACG